ACACCGGCAGCUCAAGUGGUAGCCGCUUUUAUUGGGCCUAAAGCGUCCGUAGCCGGUCUGAUAAGUCUCUGGUGAAAUCCCACAGCUUAACUGUGGGAAUUGCUGGAGAUACUAUCAUGACUCGAGGUCGGGAGAGGCUGGAGGUACUCCCAGGGUAGGGGUGAAAUCCUGUAAUCCUGGGAGGACCACCUGUGGCGAAGGCGUCCAGCUGGAACGAACCUGACGGUGAGGGACGAAAGCCAGGGGCGCGAACCGGAUUAGAUACCCGGGUAGUCCUGGCCGUAAACGAUGUGGACUUGGUGUUGGGAUGGCUUCGAGCUGCCCCAGUGCCGAAGGGAAGCUGUUAAGUCCACCGCCUGGGAAGUACGGCCGCAAGGCUGAAACUUAAAUGAAUUGGCGG
RNAcentral lists this ribosomal RNA (400 nucleotides) under uncultured bacterium. RNAcentral's name for it is "partial 16S ribosomal RNA". It matches the Rfam family "Archaeal small subunit ribosomal RNA", at positions 473 to 871 of the family's 1478-position model. The record is from RNAcentral.